This is an RNA transcript of Chenopodium quinoa (quinoa), 2669 nucleotides long. RefSeq lists it as uncharacterized. Lineage: Eukaryota; Viridiplantae; Streptophyta; Magnoliopsida; Caryophyllales; Amaranthaceae. The transcript has 2 exons. The record is from RefSeq and is a predicted model, not a curated record.
AUCAAUCCAAACGGGUUGUUCUUUCGGAGACGAAGGGGGUAAUUAAAGUACAUAGGAAAGUAAAAUUUACAUGGGAAAGUUAAAUUUGUACAAAUAUUUUUACAAAUUUUAGAGAAUUUUGGUAAAAAAAAAAAUAAUAUUAGUGGUACUUGAAAAAAAAAAAGUGACUAACAUUUUGAGUCACCAAAAUGACAAAAGUGACUAUCAAUCGGGAACGAAGGGAAUAUUAUUUUUAAGUUUACUUUAUAACUUAUUGUAUGAAACCUUUUAGAUGAAUACAUCAUUUUUUUUUAGUAUCCUUAAGAGUUAUUCCCUCCGUCCCUAAAUUAUAUUCCUCCUUUCUAUUUUUGGUAAGUUUUUUUUAGUAAAUCAACGAACUCUCUUUUUUCUGUUUAAUAUUUAACGCUUUCUCACUCAUCCUUACUUAAUCUCACUCAUAAUCCUUGUGCCAAAUUACAAUGAAUAUGAUUGGUUAAAAAAUUUCAAUUAGGAGCAUGUGAUUGGUCCUUUUUUUUUUUGCAAAGGAUUGAUGACAUGUCAUGAGUAAUAACAAAUCUAUCUUUGUACUUCCCAUUGCAUUAUCUAAUUAUUGUUAUUCAACAGGUUUUGUGUGUGGCUGGCCACACGGUGUGGCCAACUAACAUACAAGUAAACCCUAAUCAAGUAACCUCUAUUGAUGACCUAGUAACUAGUAACCCCUGACCAAGUAACCCCUUCGACCUACCAAGUAACCCCUGACCAAGUAACCCCUCCGACCAAGUAAUCCCUCCGACCUGGUAACCCCUCCGACCUACCUAGUAACCCCUGACUAUGUAAUACCUCUGACCUACCUAGUAACCUCUGACCUAGUAACCCCUCCGACCUAUCUAGUAACCCUGACCAAGUAACCCCUCCGACCUACCUAGUAACCCCUGAUCAAGUAACCCUAACCCCUCCGACCUGGUAACCCCUCCAGCCUGAUAAUCCCUCCGAUCUACCUAGUAACCCCUCCAACCUUAAUAACCCUUGACCAAGUAACCCCUCCGACCUAGUAACCCUGGACCUAACCACCAAUUCCACCACUAAAGCAGCACCAAAUCACCAAUUCCAACCACCACAACAAUCAACCAUCUCCCCUCUCACGCACUUCCAAAAUCUAUGAAAUUGAAUGGGUGCAAAUUGACCCCAAAAAUAAGUAUAAAAACAAAAUAAAAAGUCCUAUCAUAUAUAUUUCCUUGAUUGCUGUCAAGUAGCUAGGAAAUUGUGUUGAAAAAAAAGUAGCAUGACGACAUUGACGAUUGUAGUCCAGUGAAUCUCUGCCUCCAUUCCUUCACUCUUGACUUCUUCUUCCUCCUCUCAAGUCCAUUAUUAAACUACAACUCCUCCUGCUCUUUUCCCCUGCGCAACCAAACAGCCAGCAACAACAAUUUCGACUUCCAAUCCACUGGCAAUCAGUGUUUCAGCGACCAAUAAUAAUGAUUUCGGCCAUUAAUUGCAACAAUUUGAUAAGGAGCGUCUUCGAUCUUCGCCUAAUUAAAAACCCAUAUUUGUGGUGUAGAAGAAAAGAGGAGAGAGAAAAUCCAAUUGCUAUCUCGAGAAGAAGGAAAGUGGUGUACUGUUUUUUUUUUAAAUAAAAAUUAAAUUAUUGCUAUCUCGACAAGAAAGAAAGUGGUGUACAGUUUUUUUUUUUAAAUAAAAAUUAGGGUAUUUUCAUUUUUACCACCUUCAAAUAAUGACUUUGUCGAAUUUACCACCUCCAAAAAAAAAAACAUUUACUUUACCACCUCAUAAAAAAAUUAAACAUCAGUUUUACCACCUCAUCUGAGCUCAGGUGACGGAAAACGCUUGUGGGUCCCAGUUAACUGUCACUUCCCUCCAAUUUAAUUCGUUUAAAAUCGAUUUCCCUUUGUCUCCUCCUUUUCUCACCUUCCACCUUCCAUAAUCAAUGUCUCACCAAAUUUCUCACUUCCUCAUCAAUUUUCGUCUCUCUUUCCUUUGAUUUUUCUUGAUUCUCACUGUAACUGCUUCUCUCUCCUUUGAAUUUUCUCUUUCUCUCUGUAAAAACUGAAACCCUAGAUCAAUUUGGGUGGUUGAAAUCGAGCUGGAACCACAAAAUUGCAACACAUCAGCUUCUCUUGUCAUCUUCCACAGGGUGAGGGGACCAAAAGCUUGGUAAUUUGCUGACAGAAAUCGAGAUUCCUGACUACAAGAGAAUGGACACAGUGAACUUAAAAAUUACAUUAGGGGGUGCCUUUAUACCUUCUUUAGCUGGUAAAAAUAGGAGGGUGUUAACUUGGGAUGGUGGGUGGGUUUAUUGGAUGAGAAAGGUGGAAAAAAAUAAGAUAGAUGUACACUUUUUGAGGCAAGCAGCUAUACAUGGGUUUGUGUAUGUGAAUGUGAAGGUUCCUAGGGGGUUUAGUUGCUGGUAUAAACAAAAAGGCAAGUCUUGGGUGAAUGGUAAAAGGGAGCUUGUUGAUGGUGAGGUGAAUGGUUUCCUAGAGUCGGUGAACAAAGAGGGGGCAUGUGAGAUGUAUGUUACCAGUCAUGAGCCAAUUGAAGGGACUAACAAAACACCCUUCAAAUGUAUAUCUGGGAAUGAGCUAACCCCUGCACAAAGGAAGGAACUGAAAAAGAGGUUUGGUGGGCCUAAAGUAUACAAACCCAGCCCAGAACUUAGUAAGCCCACUGAA